RNAcentral lists this long non-coding RNA (651 nucleotides) under Danio rerio (zebrafish). Its description in RNAcentral is "lncRNA si:ch211-128n12.1 (ENSDARG00000098318.2)". Lineage: Eukaryota; Metazoa; Chordata; Actinopteri; Cypriniformes; Danionidae. The record is from RNAcentral.
UCAGAUUCAAGGCAUUUUCCAUUCUACCUCUUCAACUUGUUCUGCAUUCCAGCAAAUAGCCACAAAGCCUCUCUGCGCAAGGUUAGAAGACCCAAGUAGCUGCUAGCUGCUGUAGGACAGCACAUGGAGAGUUGCAAGAAUACAUUUGCCAGCAGGAAAUUAAUCUGUGACAAUUCCAUUGAGUUUUCUCAGCCUCGUGUCCGGUUUGAUGAAUAACCCCGUGGAAAAUUCAGAAUUUCAGCAGUGAAAACUGUUAGCUUCUCAUGCGCGCCCAAUUAACCCACUUUUCUGUUGUGACAACCUCACUUGAAUCUCUUUUCUUUUUACUGCUUUUAGAGCCAAAGGUUUUUUCCUCUCAUUACCAACAACAUGCUUUGCUUACAUUCUUAUGGCCUAGUAAUAAGAGGAUCAUUAGUUAAUACACUUAGCGCAUGUUACUUUAGCACUGUGUUUAUUUGCCAGUUGGCUUCUUGUACUCCAUAGCUUAGUGCUAUUAUCUAUUUAUAUUGGGUGACCUUAUUUAAUCUUCCCAAAAAUUAAGUUAUUAAAUGUUAAAUAUCUUUAAACCUUACAUACUGUAAAUCAGUUGUCGGCAGUCUAGGGCCCUAAUUUCUGAUGGUUGUGAGUGAUUGUGGGAUCAUAUGUAUGUAU